UCCUACUCCCUCCAUCCCAUUUUAAGUGUCCAACUUUGAUCGUUCAUCUUAUUUGAAUUUUUUCAGAUUAAUAUUUUUAUUGUUAUUAGAUGGUAAAAUAUAAAUAGUACUUUAUGUGUGAUUUAUGUUUUUUGAUUUUUUUAAAAAAUAUUCAAAUAAGACAGAUAAUUAAAGUUGGACGGAAACACGUGACUGCGCUUAAA
Non-coding RNA from Oryza punctata, 203 nucleotides. NCBI's taxonomy places the organism in Eukaryota, Viridiplantae, Streptophyta, Magnoliopsida, Poales, Poaceae. The record is from Rfam.